RNAcentral lists this transfer RNA (84 nucleotides) under Fasciola gigantica. Its description in RNAcentral is "tRNA-Ser". The record is from RNAcentral. Lineage: Eukaryota; Metazoa; Platyhelminthes; Trematoda; Plagiorchiida; Fasciolidae.
AGCCUCAUAGCUCAGCUGGAAGAGCGUUCGUGGUACUAAAGCGAGGGUGGCAACCACACGUGGAUUCAACUCCCGCUGUGGUCA